This 88-nucleotide non-coding RNA is filed under the name Bordetella sp. Lineage: Bacteria; Pseudomonadati; Pseudomonadota; Betaproteobacteria; Burkholderiales; Alcaligenaceae. The record is from RNAcentral.
UAGAGUAGCCGCCGAGUCGGUGCUUCACAGUUAAACGGGAAACAGGAGGGCCCCUUCGGGACCUAACCUGUGCUGCCCCCGCAACGGU